AACUCAUAUAUCUUUGUUUUUCUAUUUAGACGUUGGUAAUAAUAUGAAACAAACGUUGGUGAUAAUAUCGAAACAAGUUAGUUAUAAAGCAUUUUUAAAUUUUUAAAAAGAAAUAAAAAUACUUUUCAAUA
Hydra vulgaris (swiftwater hydra) is the source of this 131-nucleotide non-coding RNA. NCBI's taxonomy places the organism in Eukaryota, Metazoa, Cnidaria, Hydrozoa, Anthoathecata, Hydridae. The record is from RefSeq and is a predicted model, not a curated record.